CGGGAUCGUGAAGGGGGGGUUAUGAAACUGGAUAGCAGUUCGCCAUGCUGGCUCCUACAGCGCUAUGUUUUACUAUGCACGUUUACACUGUGUUGGAUCCGAAAUGCCGACAGUUUUGACUUGCUCUGCUCAGUGACGCGUGCUCUCGGUUUGUUAUUCCACAGGCUGCUGCUCCGUGUCUGCGGGUUAUUGUACCUGGAUGAUUCUGUGUAAUCGGUUGCUUUCUAACGAUGGACGGUUUGUUUGCUUUUUUUUAACGCAAUUGUUUUAGUUAAGAGGCGCUUUAGCUAUAAAACGCAAGACUUUAAAGAGACAGCAACUUAGACUGCAGAGAGAGAGGUCAACAAAACUUAACUACGGUAUUCUCAUAGGAAAGCAGUGUAGAGUUAGGAGACUGCAAAUUAACUAGAACCUAUAAUUGGGAAUUAAUCCAGAAGCGGGGAUCGGAGAUUCUUAAAAAACAGACACAGUAUAAUUUCAGUGUCAGAGAAAAAUGGUUUAACUGUAUGUAUAUGUCGGGAUUAUAAAUGUACUUGAUAUAAAAUAAGAGUUAUUUACCAAUUUGUUUGCUAUCUUUCCGCCUUGGAGAGAGGAGCUGCGUGCAGUGAGUACAACUGUACCGUAAUGAUUGUAAUAGCAGGGAGUUCACGACUGGAAGCAGAAUAAAUUGGCUAUGACACCUCAGCCACAACUUGUACAAAAUAAAUAGACCUAAACUCCAGUAAACCAACGCAGGUAUUGACACAUCACUGCGCUCAAUAUUUUUCACAUAAUUUGUAAAUAAAACAGCGUUUUCAACUCCGUGCUCGAGUGGACUACGCUUAGUUCCGGUAAAGGCGGAUAUGACGUCAUCGAAGGACGGUCAAGGCGCGAAUUGACUGGUUAACAUUGAAAUCUCGUGUUUUCUUUAUUAAAAAAAAAAAUCUCUUCAAAAAUAAGGCAAAAUGCCAAACAUGUGUGUGGCGUAUGGAUGUUCUAAGUCACCUAAAGACAACGUGACUGUAUUUAAAUUCCCAAAGGACUUGGUCUGCUUUCGUAAAUGGGAGCAACAGGUGCAGCAGACGAGAGCCAAUUGGCACGCAAAGCCAUCAUCGGAUUUGUGUAGCGACCACUUCGAGUUGGACUGUUUCGAAGUUAAACCAUUUUUUAUGCUGCAGUUGGGUGUCAGUCUUAAAUGUCCUCUAAGAUUAAAAAAAGGAGCAAUACCGUCUAUUUUUGUGCCGCCUCCGUCUGUCACCCCAGGGUGCGGACAGACAGCAGGGAAUUCUAAGCGCUCCACGAAGGAUGAUGAGCCGACUACAUCAUGCACCCCCAAAAGAAAGAGGGGCGGAGUUGCGUUUGAAAAGAGGGAGCAUGCAGGGGAUGCUGGCUGUCAGACAACAAAGCCCCAUGGACCCUCCAGAAUAAGUAAACGGACACAGACAAGGUUUUGUGGGAAAGAUAAAGUGAGAACAGAUCAGCCUCACUCAAAGGAAGUUUCUGAGAUGGAAGCAGCUCACAUCAGCCCAGAGCUUCCUAUUCGAUGGGUUGUUUCUGCAGACAGGACUGUUGAGAUCAAGGAGGAAGUGACUGAGCUGGGGUGUGACCAGGCCAAUGAGCGGAUCCUGCAGGAGGAAACGCCACCUUCUAGUAUCACUGAGAGAGAUCUCCCUCCCGACUGGUGAGGGCGCUAGGGAGGAGGAGCAGACAUCCCCAGGAAAGGUGGAAGGCGGCCACCUGGAAAGGGGGCGGGACCACGGUGUGCAACGUCAUCAACCCAGAUGGGAAGUGCGGAUUGGUUGACGGCGGUUGCCCUCGCUGACCAAUGGGGACGGGACGGAGCGUACAAAAGGGGGCGUGGCCCAGGGUUCUGUUCCUUCUGGCAAGAGCACUAACGGGACGCUCCGGGAAUAUGCCGGAGGAGCGCGAACCUGGAAGUGCCGGAAUUGUUUCCCGUCCUGGAUGAAGGAAAGACAGACUGUGUUCUAUUGUUUUUUUUUGUUUCCGUUUCUCUUUGUUUGGGACUGCGAACCCUCGUUACAUUUUUGUUUGUCGGCUUACACAUCGCUGUGUAUCCCGGCGUCAUUAUUAUUGUGUUUGGGUUAAAUUAAACCCUGGACUUGUGCAUUGAAACUGGACUGGUCUGUCAGUUAUUUACACCACACGCUCAGCCAACCUGUCACAUCAUGCUAUAGAAAAAUGGUUGUGGUUUCAAAACCGUGGCGGUUUACCAUUAAACCGGUAUACCGUGACAUCCCUAGUUCUAGGGAGCAGCAUAAACCCGGCGGUUCUAAUGUUAAAGAAAAGUUAGGCUGUAGUGUUAGCACCACUCUUCAAU
Acipenser ruthenus (sterlet) is the source of this 2317-nucleotide RNA transcript. It is a transcript of the gene named THAP domain-containing protein 10-like, with no coding region annotated. The record is from RefSeq and is a predicted model, not a curated record. The transcript is spliced from 5 exons. NCBI's taxonomy places the organism in Eukaryota, Metazoa, Chordata, Actinopteri, Acipenseriformes, Acipenseridae.